This 466-nucleotide ribosomal RNA is filed under the name uncultured bacterium. RNAcentral describes it as "partial 16S ribosomal RNA". It matches the Rfam family "Bacterial small subunit ribosomal RNA", at positions 339 to 795 of the family's 1533-position model. The record is from RNAcentral.
CUACGGGUUGCAGCAGUGGGGAAUAUUGGACAAUGGGGGAAACCCUGAUCCAGCAAUGCCGCGUGUGUGAAGAAGGCCUGCGGGUUGUAAAGCACUUUCGGUUGGGAGGACUGCUUCUAGCACUAAUAUUGUUGGAAGUUGACGUUACCUUCAGAAGAAGCACCGGCGUAACUCCGUGCCAGCAGCCGCGGUAGUACGGAGGGUGCAAGCGGUAAUCGGAAUUACUGGGCGUAAAGCGCGCGUAGGCGGCUAGAUCAGUCGGGUGUGAAAGCCCCGGGCUUAACCUGGGAACUGCAUCCGAUACUGGCUAGCUUGAGUACAGGAGAGGAGAGUGGAAUUCCACAUGUAGCGGUGAAAUGCGUAGAUAUGUGGAGGAACACCAAUGGCGAAGGCAGCUCUCUGGCCUGAUACUGACGCUGAGGUGCGAAAGCGUGGGGAGCAAACAGGAUUAGAUACCCCCGUAGUC